CUAUAAACAAAAAUUCCUUCUUCUAAACUACUGGAAAGACUGUCAUGACGCAUGGCUCCACACGGGAGGCUGCCUGGUUGACAUCUUGAAGCUCCUCCACGGAGGAUUACCAGGCGGCCUCCCGGGUGGAGGGGGAUUACCCCUCGAUGACCCUCCUGCAGCCGAUGCGCCUUCGGCACCUGCCCCUGCCGGAGGAUCAUCAGCAGCCACAGAUACAGCAACAACAGUGCUGGAUGGUGAUGAUGAUGCAGGGGCGGGUGGGGCAGGAGGGCUACCAGGAAUCCCCGGAAUCGGAGGGGGAAUCCCUGGAAUCGGAGGGGGAAUCCCUGGAAUAGGUGGUGGGAUCCCG
This 349-nucleotide long non-coding RNA is filed under the name Daucus carota (carrot). Its description in RNAcentral is "long non-coding RNA (DCAR_LNC001771)". Lineage: Eukaryota; Viridiplantae; Streptophyta; Magnoliopsida; Apiales; Apiaceae. The record is from RNAcentral.